This 500-nucleotide ribosomal RNA is filed under the name uncultured Glomeromycotina. RNAcentral's name for it is "partial small subunit ribosomal RNA". It matches the Rfam family "Eukaryotic small subunit ribosomal RNA", at positions 591 to 1092 of the family's 1831-position model. The record is from RNAcentral. Lineage: Eukaryota; Fungi; Glomeromycota.
CCAAUAGCGUAUAUUAAAGUUGUUGCAGUUAAAAAGCUCGUAGUUGAAUUUCGGGGUCAGUAGGUUGGUCGUGCCACUGGUAUGUACUGGUCUCACUGAUUCCUCCUUCCUGAUGAGCCGUAAUGCCAUUAAUUUGGUGUUGCGGGGAAUCUGGACUGUUACUUUGAAAAAAUUAGAGUGUUUAAAGCAGGCUAACGCUUGAAUACAUUAGCAUGGAAUAAUGGAAUAGGACGUUCGAUCCUAUUUUGUUGGUUUCUAGGAUUGACGUAAUGAUUAAUAGGGAUAGUUGGGGGCAUUAGUAUUCAAUUGUCAGAGGUGAAAUUCUUGGAUUUAUUGAAGACUAACUACUGCGAAAGCAUUUGCCAAGGAUGCUUUCAUUAAUCAAGAACGAAAGUUAGGGGAUCGAAGACGAUCAGAUACCGUCGUAGUCUUAACCAUAAACUAUGCCGACUAGGGAUCGGAUGAUGUUAAUUUUUUAAUGACUCAUUCGGCGCCUUACG